CGAGUAUACUAAGUAAUUGCGCAUAUUAACAAUAUGUGAGGAAAGUCCGAACUCCACAGAGCAAAAUAACGGCUAACAGCCGCCGGGGGCGACCCUAGGGAAAGUGCAACAGAAAAUUACCGCCAUAUAUUAUAGUGAGAUUUUUUUAAAAACAAUGACAUUUUUGUUUUCUCCCACAAUAAAGUCAGGUUGUGGGUCAAAUUAGUUGAUGAUAUCUUUCCCCCCGCUGAACGCGGGGAGGAGAAAAAAGAAGUUUCAACUAUUUUAAGACAUGAUCCAAAGUCGGGAGCAAAAACGGGGUGUGGGUCAAAUUAGUUGAUAAUAUUUUCCUCCCCGCCAGAACGCGUGGGAGAAAAAAGAAGUUUCAACUAUUUCAGGCACGACCGAGUUUAUACUUCAUAAAUGAUUUUUACUAUGAUAUGGUAAGGUUGAAAAGGCGAGGUAAGAGCUCACCAGUAUUUAGGAGACUAAAUAGCUGUGUAAACCCUAUUUGGAGCAACACCGUGGUUUGUGGAUGUAUUAAACGCUUGCUCGGCGGCAUUCACUUAAAGGUGGCACUAUGCUGGUGACGGCAACGCACAGCUAAGAUAGAUAAUUACUCUCGACAGAAUUCGGCUUAUCGGUAUACUCAAAUA
This 635-nucleotide RNase P RNA is filed under the name Oscillospiraceae bacterium. RNAcentral's name for it is "RNase P RNA component class A". It matches the Rfam family "Bacterial RNase P class A". From Rfam's summary of the family: Ribonuclease P (RNase P) is a ubiquitous endoribonuclease, found in archaea, bacteria and eukarya as well as chloroplasts and mitochondria. Its best characterised activity is the generation of mature 5'-ends of tRNAs by cleaving the 5'-leader elements of precursor-tRNAs. The record is from RNAcentral. Lineage: Bacteria; Bacillati; Bacillota; Clostridia; Eubacteriales; Oscillospiraceae.